GCAAACUUGGUCAUUUAGAGGAAGUAAAAGUCGUAACAAGGUUUCCGUAGGUGAACCUGCGGAAGGAUCAUUAUUGAGUUUUGAACGGGUUGUAGCUGGCCUUUCACGAGGCAUGUGCACACCUGGCUCAUCCACUCUAAAACUCUGUGCACUUUUUGUAGGAAUGAUGGAUACUGGCUUUUGUCAGUGGAAGUCUUUUCUAUGUUUUUAUUACAAACACUUUAGUAACAGAAUGUAACUUUGCAUAUAAUGCAUUAUAUACAACUUUCAGCAACGGAUCUCUUGGCUCUCGCAUCGAUGAAGAACGCAGC
Molecule: unclassified non-coding RNA, 311 nt
Filed under: uncultured fungus
Lineage: Eukaryota; Fungi
Description: partial contains small subunit ribosomal RNA, internal transcribed spacer 1, and 5.8S ribosomal RNA
Rfam family: Eukaryotic small subunit ribosomal RNA (bases 1-73)
Source: RNAcentral